UUGUACCAUAGAACUAGUGCUUGCUUCUUGAGGACAGACUUGUGGAAAAUGUUUAGGGUUCAGAAGCCUGUGGUUUCUCUCAUAGAGAGCUGGGACACUGGUGGGGGAAGAAGGAUAAGAGAAGUUGUAGAAAAAAUAGGAGGACCAUGGAAGGAAGAAAGAAGAUGAGGUUGGGAGAAAACAGAGAGAGAAUGGAGCUCUAACUCUGAGUUCAUGGUGAUCUGACUAUGAGAUGGUUUCCUUCCUGUAGUUACAGAGCUCUCUGAACAUUGUUUAUGCAGUUGAGAACUCUGGUGCCUAGUACCACUCUCCAGCUUUCUCAUCCUCAAUUAUGAACCCUGGUUUCAACUUUGGCCUUUUUGACCUAAGCUAACCUUCAGCCUGACCCUGGUCCUAAGAAAGAAAAAGACUUUUCUUUCUCGGCACAGGUGCCCUUGCCGUGAUGCCUUUCUUCCUGGUAUGUGUGAUGCAGCAAGGAGGGCACUCACCAGAGCCAGCACCAUGCUACUUGAACUUUGAGCCUCUGAAAUUACCCAUCUCAGCAGAUACUCCUGAAAAAAUGAACAGCAGUAUGAAGUGAGCUAUGUACUGCCAAGAGGAGAUGCAAACAGUUGUCACAGGGGAUUUAUUACUCAAGGAGAUCUGGAUACAACUGCCAUGACGCCUGUGAGCUUGCUCUUCUCUCCAAGAGCUGUGCAGGACUUGCUGAGGCUCCUCUUAGAGCCCAGUAACUUCAUCUGCAGAUGCUAUUUCCAUUUUCCCCAUUUUCCCAUUACCAUUAAUUUCAGUUGCAUUUUAGGACCUCUGUAAGAAACCCAUCUCCAUUAACCAUGUUUUUUUAUUUCAAUAAAA
Heterocephalus glaber (naked mole-rat) is the source of this 852-nucleotide non-coding RNA. The record is from RefSeq and is a predicted model, not a curated record. NCBI's taxonomy places the organism in Eukaryota, Metazoa, Chordata, Mammalia, Rodentia, Bathyergidae.